This 253-nucleotide ribosomal RNA is filed under the name uncultured bacterium. RNAcentral describes it as "partial 16S ribosomal RNA". It matches the Rfam family "Bacterial small subunit ribosomal RNA", at positions 524 to 776 of the family's 1533-position model. The record is from RNAcentral.
UACGGAGGGGGCUAGCGUUGUUCGGAAUUACUGGGCGUAAAGCGCACGUAGGCGGCUUUGUAAGUUAGAGGUGAAAGCCCGGGGCUCAACUCCGGAACUGCCUUUAAGACUGCAUCGCUAGAAUCGUGGAGAGGUGAGUGGAAUUCCGAGUGUAGAGGUGAAAUUCGUAGAUAUUCGGAAGAACACCAGUGGCGAAGGCGACUCACUGGACACGUAUUGACGCUGAGGUGCGAAAGCGUGGGGAGCAAACAGG